Molecule: ribosomal RNA, 506 nt
Filed under: uncultured bacterium
Lineage: Bacteria
Description: partial 16S ribosomal RNA
Rfam family: Bacterial small subunit ribosomal RNA
Source: RNAcentral
AGUGAACGCUGGCGGUAGGCCUAACACAUGCAAGUCGAACGGCAGCACAGGAGAGCUUGCUCUCUGGGUGGCGAGUGGCGGACGGGUGAGGAAUACAUCGGAAUCUACUCUGUCGUGGGGGAUAACGUAGGGAAACUUACGCUAAUACCGCAUACUACCUACGGGUGAAAGCAGGGGACCUUCGGGCCUUGCGCGAUUGAAUGAGCCGAGGUCGGAUUAGCUAGUUGGCGGGGUAAAGGCCCACCAAGGCGACGAUCCGUAGCUGGUCUGAGAGGAUGAUCAGCCACACUGGAACUGAGACACGGUCCAGACUCCUACGGGAGGCAGCAGUGGGGAAUAUUGGACAAUGGGCGCAAGCCUGAUCCAGCCAUACCGCGUGGGUGAAGAAGGCCUUCGGGUUGUAAAGCCCUUUUGUUGGGAAAGAAAUCCAGCUGGCUAAUACCCGGUUGGGAUGACGGUACCCAAAGAAUAAGCACCGGCUAACUUCGUGCCAGCCGCCGCGGUAA